CUCAAUGUUCUUUUCCUUGUCCUCUCUCAGCACUGAGUGUGUUUUUUGCUAUGGAAGAGCAAGAGGAGGUGCAGAUUUCAGCUAGUGAAAAAUACAAGGGGAAGUAAAGAAAAUAAGAAGAGGAGGAGGAGAGAGAGAGACAGACUUCACCCCCAUCUCCCUCUUCCUCUCCCUCAUUCUCGCCUCUGCCAACGACUUCUACCUCAGAAAUAGCGGAGGGACCAACUUCAAAAGGCAGUCAGGAGGGAGCUGGAGUGCGAAAUCUGAGAAGAGAAGCAAGAUGAGAGGCUGACCGGCGCUGUGUUUGCUAUUCUGUCCAGGAGCUGCCAGGACAGCAGACGGGAACCUACGGAUGACACCUGGCAUAAAUCUCUGUAAUCAUGGAAGACUCCACUGCUGAAGCCUGAAGGCCUUCGAUGGGAUAUGCACAAGGCUCUACAUUCACCUAAUGGCUUGUUUCUGAAGCUCGGGAGUGAAUUCUUCAUCCUUUUACAGCGUAAGAACAGAACUUUGGAUGAUCAAGCAGCAAGAUAGAAGAACGAGUGAGGGGACAUCCUGGAUCCAAAGGGGAGGAAAGCCAGGUAUUGAUGACUGGAGGCCGAGGCAGAGCCCGUCCGCUUUUCUUCCCCAGCGGGCGUCAGUGUCAGUGUUUUCCCGCGCCAGGUCAUGUUGGAUUUAAAGACAGGCUGGAAAUCCCCUGAUGAAUCAACAUUUAACACUUUGCUGCCACAUCAACCAAAAAGCUGCAAAUGUUUUUUUGGACGUUUGAAGGAAAAGAGCUUAAGCACAUUGGCUGCAGUUAAUGUUUUGGAUAAUUUUUUUUUUUUCUCUUUUUUUUACUUCAGCAGCCUUGAUACCAGAAAGCUUUGCACAUGUAUGUUUGCACAGAGGUUUGAUUUUGGGGUUUCAGGUUGGUUUCUUUUUGUUUUUAAACUGAGCUGGAAAGAUUCUGAAGGACUGUUUGACUGGAUGUGAGUUCUGUAGGAAGAUGUUAAAUCAUUUCCAGACGUGCUCUGUGUCUUUCAGAGGGUCCUAAAACACCCAUAUUUAACAUAUUGGUCUUUUAUCUUACUGUUUUCAAUGAGUCUUUGAGUAGAGCUGCAACAAUUGGCUUAUUAACUGAUUAGCUAUUUUGAUAAUUGUUUAAUCCUCUCAGUCAUUUUAUUAAGCAAAACUGCCAAUUUUUGCUGCUUCCAGCUCUAAUCUGGAUAUCUUUGGGUUUGGGAUUGUUGGUCAGACUAAACAAAAAAACGCAGACAUCAGUUUGGACUGUUGGAAAUUGUAAUGUUUUCAAUAUUUUCAGACCUUUUACAACAAAACAAUUAAUGGAUUAAUUGAGAAAAUAAUCAACAGAUUAGCCGAUAAUGAAAAUUAUUGUUAUUUUUUUAUUCCACACAAGAAAAAUGAAGUGUCAGAGCAGAAAAAGUCAUGUACAGUAUAUAAGCAGUGUUUAGGGUGGAAACAAUUAAUCAUCAAUUAAUUGAUUAUUCCAUAGACAGAAAAUAAUUGGCAACUAUUAUGAUAAUUGAUUAAUCUUUUCAGUCAUUUUUAAACAUAAAUGCCAAACAUUUUCUGUUUUUAGCUCCUCCAUUAUGUGUGUUGCCUUUCCAUGUCUAAUGUGUCGACUGGACAUCUUUGGGUGUUGGACUAAUGAAACACUGGAAGACGUCACCUUGGACUUUAUAUUAAACAGCUAUUUUCUGACAUUUUAUUGAAAUAAUUGGUACAUUAACAGAUGAUAAACAGAGGAUAAUAAUCAUUAUUUGCAACCUGCUUUGGUUAUCUUUAAAUUUGACAAUACGUUGUAAAUGGUAGAAGUGAAACAUAAAAGAUGUAGUAUCUGCUCGUGGAUAAGAUCUAAGGGAACUUUUUUGAGUGUCUUAGGUUCAGAAGAAAGUACAGGAAAGGUUGCAUAGUCUUUAAGAAUCUUUAAAAAACAUAAUAUAAACAUUAUUUGCAUGUACUAUGUAUUAUUAAAUACAGUACUGUACAAUAUUGCAAUCUGAAGACACAAGACACAGCCCUCCAUUAUUUGUGACUGUUAGCUUCUUGUCCUUGUUUUAGCUUCAUGUCUUCUGUAUGUGUAUCACUGGAAACCCUAGUCAGAGUCCCUGUGUGUCCAAACAUGCUUGGCCAAUAAAGUUGGUUCCUUUUUUUUAAAGGUCUGUUUUUUCUUUUUGUUAGUAUUUUUAGUUUUAGUUGUUUCAUGCUUUAUUAUUGUAUAGGGCAGACACUUAUAAUGUAUAGUUUACUACUUUCUUUGUGGGAUCAAGUGAAGUUGUCUUAUCGCAUAUGCUAUGCAAUGCUAUGUAUACUAUGAAGCAUUUGUUCAAUUUACAAAAUUGCUGUCUUCAUAAUCUGAUGUUCAUGAUAUCUGACAAAAGGCAGACAAGGCCAAAGCAGUUGUAAGCCAAGCUACAAUACUUAUUUCCUGCUUAUAUUUUAGCAUGACACUGCAAUAUCCAUGACCUGUUGUGACCCGCCCAACAACCUCAGAUUCAAGGAAUCACCUUCAACUUGCUUCUUUCAACCGUCUUUUCUCAUUCGUAACUCUACUGCUUUCAUUUUCUUCCAGCUCGCUUGUUCUGUAUCUCACCUGUCUGCUCUGUGACUUGACUUUGCAUAUUGGCAGUGUUUUAAAUUUCGUACUCUAAUAAAUUUCCAUUUGUCAGUUCUGUUUUAUCUAUGCAAUAUGUCAUUAACUGAUAUCCCAAUAUACUGUUCAGCUCAGUAACACUGAAUUGUAUGUGUAGUCUAUGUUAGUGAAAAUAAAUGGUCACUUUCAUAUUAUUCCAUUGAAAACUUCAAAUAUAUGCAAAUGUAACAUGUUAUAUUCUGUUAUGAGCAGACAAUUUUGUUUGUCCUCGUUUGUCUACACACUUAAAAUCAUAGAUAGUAUAGAGUAAACGUUAUGUGAUGUGAUUCAAAUGAGACUCGAAGAUUUAUGUGUUAAAUAUACCUUUGUAUCGCAGUGUUGUGUUUUAAUGACUGCAGGUCAUAUUUUACAACAUUGCUGAUGAUUAAACAACAUUAUAAUAUUUUGUAAUAAAUAAAGCAGUGAUGAGGGUAGAACAGUAAGUCCAGUGUUCUCUUCAGAUGUGUGGUGUUGAGAUAGGGACGUCUUACAGUUGUGUCUAAAUAAAGUCUUAACUGUUGUCAUUUCACAUGAUUAUCAGUUCCUUCCACUGCGGUGCUUAUUAAUAGAAGCUCUAAAUGAAUGCUGAGAUUUUGCCAUCUGACAUGUUUUACAUUUUAUCUUUGGAGAUAUUUUUAUAUCUUCUUAAAAGCUUGAAUUUGUCUCAACAAAUACCAGUCCCUUGGCAUGAUGUGUGUUUCUGCAGAGCUGCCAAUUUUACGGCCUCUCCCCUGCUGACAAUAUACAUUAAGCAGUAAAUGGACCUAAACAAAGAUAAAAAGACAACAAACAAGCAGCAGCAAGUUCUCAAAAGUCAGUGCAGAAAUUAGUCCACAUGAUUUGGAAUUGGAUGUAGGCAUUUGUGUAUGGUUAGUUGAACAGGUUACAAUACCACAAUAAUACAUUAUUAAUUCAUGUGUUGUGGUAAUUCUCUACAUAAAUACUGUAAAUAUUUAAUUAGUAAUGCAAAUAUCCAUUUUAUUUUAAGUACGCAAAUAUUCAUAAAUGUUUCACCUGCCAAAAUCAAGAACAAGCUUUAUGUGUUUUUAAUGUGUUCACACUGAUUUUGACAAGAGGAAGAGAAAUGUAAACUUCAGUGGUAUCACUCUGGUGCUCUGCUAAUGUGCUGUAGCCUAUAGUGUAUGUGAAGUUUGUCCCAAUAUUGUUGUUCAACAGCUUUGUCUUUCUCUCUCUUCCAGCUUAUUAGAACAGGUCAGUACAUGUCGGUGAAUGGUCCUUGAACAUGAGACGGAUAUGACAACCACACUGAAGCAAGCUUCAACUGCCCAUACACACAUUUUUGUGAACUACAGGAUAUCUUGACCGGGACAUAAAACCUGUACUGAUGUGCAAGCACACACACUCACAUCUAGCUAAAAAAAAAAAAUGUUAAUUUGAUUCUAAAAUGUUUUCCACAGUAACUUAAAUGUCCUUUUUUUGUAAUA
Molecule: long non-coding RNA, 4080 nt
Organism: Toxotes jaculatrix (banded archerfish)
Lineage: Eukaryota; Metazoa; Chordata; Actinopteri; Toxotidae
Exons: 6
Source: RefSeq, a predicted model, not a curated record